This 253-nucleotide ribosomal RNA is filed under the name uncultured bacterium. Its description in RNAcentral is "partial 16S ribosomal RNA". It matches the Rfam family "Bacterial small subunit ribosomal RNA", at positions 524 to 776 of the family's 1533-position model. The record is from RNAcentral.
UACGUAGGUGGCAAGCGUUGUUCGGAAUUAUUGGGCGUAAAGGGCGCGUAGGCGGUUUGUUAAGUCGGCUGUGAAAGCCCGGGGCUCAACCCCGGAGGGUCAGCCGAUACUGGCAGACUAGAGUACGGAAGAGGUAGCUGGAAUUCCCGGUGUAGCGGUGAAAUGCGUAGAUAUCAGGAGGAACACCGAUGGCGAAGGCAGGUCUCUGGGCAUUAACUGACGCUGAGGAGCGAAAGCAUGGGGAGCGAACAGG